RNAcentral lists this transfer RNA (72 nucleotides) under Poecilia formosa (Amazon molly). It matches the Rfam family "tRNA". Rfam says of the family: Transfer RNA (tRNA) molecules are approximately 80 nucleotides in length. Their secondary structure includes four short double-helical elements and three loops (D, anti-codon, and T loops). The record is from Rfam by way of RNAcentral. Lineage: Eukaryota; Metazoa; Chordata; Actinopteri; Cyprinodontiformes; Poeciliidae.
UCCCUGUUUGUCUAGUGGUCAGGAUUUGGUGCUUUCACCGCUGUGGUCUGGGUUCAAUUGCCGGUCAGGGAA